This 714-nucleotide ribosomal RNA is filed under the name Staphylococcus aureus. RNAcentral's name for it is "bacterial SSU rRNA". It matches the Rfam family "Bacterial small subunit ribosomal RNA", at positions 88 to 789 of the family's 1533-position model. The record is from RNAcentral. Lineage: Bacteria; Bacillati; Bacillota; Bacilli; Caryophanales; Staphylococcaceae.
GAUGUUAGCGGCGGACGGGUGAGUAACACGUGGAUAACCUACCUAUAAGACUGGGAUAACUUCGGGAAACCGGAGCUAAUACCGGAUAAUAUUUUGAACCGCAUGGUUCAAAAGUGAAAGACGGUCUUGCUGUCACUUAUAGAUGGAUCCGCGCUGCAUUAGCUAGUUGGUAAGGUAACGGCUUACCAAGGCAACGAUGCAUAGCCGACCUGAGAGGGUGAUCGGCCACACUGGAACUGAGACACGGUCCAGACUCCUACGGGAGGCAGCAGUAGGGAAUCUUCCGCAAUGGGCGAAAGCCUGACGGAGCAACGCCGCGUGAGUGAUGAAGGUCUUCGGAUCGUAAAACUCUGUUAUUAGGGAAGAACAUAUGUGUAAGUAACUGUGCACAUCUUGACGGUACCUAAUCAGAAAGCCACGGCUAACUACGUGCCAGCAGCCGCGGUAAUACGUAGGUGGCAAGCGUUAUCCGGAAUUAUUGGGCGUAAAGCGCGCGUAGGCGGUUUUUUAAGUCUGAUGUGAAAGCCCACGGCUCAACCGUGGAGGGUCAUUGGAAACUGGAAAACUUGAGUGCAGAAAAGGAAAGUGGAAUUCCAUGUGUAGCGGUGAAAUGCGCAGAGAUAUGGAGGAACACCAGUGGCGAAAGCGACUUUCUGGUCUGUAACUGACGCUGAUGUGCGAAAGCGUGGGGAUCAAACAGGAUUAAAUACCCUG